Molecule: non-coding RNA, 5712 nt
Organism: Nothobranchius furzeri (turquoise killifish)
Lineage: Eukaryota; Metazoa; Chordata; Actinopteri; Cyprinodontiformes; Nothobranchiidae
Source: RefSeq, a predicted model, not a curated record
UUGUUACAACAAUUGGAGCGGGCAGCCACUAAUGUCGCUUGCAGUGGCGGCUGGCCAGUAGAGGGCGUUAGGGCGCCGCCCUCCCAGUUUUUCCGUGUUUUUAAGUUUUAUUUUAAAAAAUAAAUAAAAUUAACAAUAAUCACAUAUUCUAAGUUAAUUGUGUGUUUUGUAACAAAAAUAAAUCAUUUAUAUAUAUCUAUAUUGGUCUCUGCCGGUCUCUGCCGAGCGGUGGAGGCUGUGUGCUGUUUUUCAAUCGCCCAAACAGGACGAGACCAGCUGUCCAAUUGCUGACAAUAAUAUCAAAGGGUAGGAAUGGGAAUGUAUCCAAUCAGCGUCGACGUUGUUUCAGAACGUUUCAGUAGCAUGAUGGGCGAUGGCGCUACCGCCAAAGGUUUCGUUGGUGUUCGGUAGAACUCGGCAGAGUCGUUUUUGGUCGUGACGCAGAUGUAACAUGGACGCCGCCGGUGACUACAACCAGCAUGGAUACCGGAUCUCAGCAGCCACUGAAUUCAGUUCGGUCUCCUCCAGUAUCCGUUCGAGAGGAGAACUAUGGUGGAAAAACUUAAUGUCAAAGAGCUUGGACCAGAUCAGCCCGACGUAAAGAUAAGCCAGCAGGAGAAGGAGAGAGAUAAGGCAUGGAUGAGUCAGGAGUUACAGACAUGAAACACUUUUCUGAGAAGGUGAAGAAACACGAGUCAUCCCGGGCACACAUGGACAACAACACGGUGAAGCUAGCUAUGCUAGGCAGCAGAGCUAACGUUGCCAUGCAGGGAACAACAGCAGCUGGGUGCAGAGGUUUUUCACACCAUCCUGAGCCAUGCAAAAGAAGAUUCUUGUCACCACACCCAUGACCACAGCCGAAUCAGAAAGGUGCUUUUUUUACUUUGAAGAGGAUUAAGACUUUCCUUGAGGAACACCAUGACACAGGAUGGGCUGAAUGCUCUUGCCAUGCUCUCCAUGGAAAAAAAAUGUUGUCACAAACAUUCCUGACUUCAAUAAAAUGCUAAUCGAGAGCUUUGCCACUCAGAUGGACAGAAGGGCAAAAUUUCUAUACAAAUGAGGUAUCACACACACACAAAUGCAUCCACUUGAUCUUUGUAUAAAGCUGACCUUGGCACAACACUCCAGAAAUAUUUAACAGUGUAAAUAUCUGGCAUUUUGUCUAAGUAGUGUUUACUACCAUUACUGUAACAGUGACCUGCUCAUAAUUUUUGGUGUUCACUCAAAUGUUGAAAUUAAACAAAAUGUUUUUGUUACUUGCCUCUUGCAUUGCCUAUUUACCAUUUAUGGUUGUGUUAUUUUAUGUGCAAUUUAAUGCAGUAUUUUUCAACCUUGGUCUGCAAGGCAGCGUGCCAAUAGUCAGACACACCUGGAUUAAUCAGUUUGUCCAAUAAUGUAAGACAGGAAAUAAAAGAGCUGUGCUUAAUUCAGGAAAUAGUGAAGUUGUGCACAAAGCUCAGAAAGCACAAGUUUGUUUAAAAAUAAAAAAAUAGCACAGCCCCACCAAAAAUAUUUUUCACCAGCCGCCACUGGUCGCUUGUGCAUCUGUUGACGCUGCUCGUCGGAAUAAACAAAGCAUCUGUUAAUCUCAAAAGACGAGUGGUGUCGUGGUGAUCUGUCAGCAAUAAUCCGCAAAACAUAGAUGAGAUCCAGUUACACCUUCAUUGGUUCAGCUGUGAGAAGUCCAGACGGCCGGUUCUGAGAUUUGUUGUCUCACAGCUAGCUAGCUAUUUCAAACGCAUCUGGAAGCUUAGUGAUAAACACCAUAUGAUGGUGUUGUGCUUGUUCUGUUUUAAUAUUAUGUUUAGGUCCGUUUUUACUUUUGCAAAGUGAAAAACAAUUAUAUUUUUCUUUAAUUAGAGAUAAUUACAUCUUAGGUGUAGCGCUAAAUAAGUCCAUACUUCUGCCUACGACUUUUUCAAACAAACAAACGGAUUGUAUUAUCUUACUUUUUAUGCCAUACAACAAUUUUCGGGCUGCGCAGUGGCGCAGUGGUUAGAGCUGUUGCCUUGUAGCAAGAAGGUGCUGGGUUCGAUUCCCGGCCUGGGAUCUUUCUGCAUGAAGUUUGCAUGUUCUCCCUGUGCAUGCGUGGUGGGUUCUCUCCGGGUACUCCGGCUUCCUCCCACAGUCCAAAAAACAUGACUGUUAGGUUAAUUGGUCUGUCUAAGUUGUCCUUAGGUGUGAGUGUGUGUGUUCAUGGUUGUUUGUCCUGUGUGUCUCUGUGUUGCCCUGUGAUGGACUGGCUCUCUGUCCAGGGUGUACCCCGCCUGAUUGCCCGUUGACCGCUGGAGAUAGGCUCCACUUGGUUGGACAUGCCUGGAAAACCUCACCAGAGAGGUGUCCAGGAGGCAUCCUAACUAAAUGCCCAAGCAACUUCAACUGGCUCCUGUCGAUGUGGAGGAGCAGCAGGUCUACUCCGAGCCCCUCCCAGAUGACCGAGCUUCUCACCCUAUCUCUGAGGGAGAGCCCAGCCACCCUGCGGAGAAAACUCAUUUCAGCUGCUUGUAUCUGCGAUCUGAUUCUUUCAGUAACUACCCAAAGCUCGUGACGAUAGGCUUUGCCUUCUGGCUCAGCUCUCUCUUCACUACGACAGACGCGUGCAUCGUCCGCAUCAUUACAGACGCAGCUCCAAUCUGCCUUUGAUCUUGUGCUCCAUCUUUUCCUCACUUGUAAACAAGAAAAAAAAAGCCGACUUCACAGCAGAAAUAAACAUUUUUACAGUCUGGUUCAAAAAUCAUUUUAGGUUUAAAAUGUCAAACUUAUGACAACUCAGUGUAGAUGUGAUGAAAGCGUUUUUAUGAAUUUCACCCUUAGGGAGCUGGCAGGUGGCAGGCUAACGCUAGCGAUUUGGCCCCAUGCUUGCUCAAUGGAAGGCCUCAGCCUCAGGUUAAAAGGUUUGUCUGUCAUCUGUCCUCUCUCAGCUUUAUAUCUUUGCCCACUUUUGUAUUUUCUUGGGGUGACGAUACGUUUGACAUGGCCAAGGUGGCAGUGGAGUUUUGAGCGCCAACGCCAAGGAUCUGUCCUUUAUUGAUACAGUUUAUGAGUUUAAUCAGUGGUUUUAGGGGUCACAAGUCUUUAGAUAUUUUUGUGAGUCACAAAGUAAAAUGUCUGGUCAUUGAUAUGUGUAUAGGGGGCGACGGUGGCACAGGAGUUAAGUGCUCGCCUCGUAAUCGGAAGGUUGCAGGUUCGAGCCUCGCUCAGUCUGUCGCUGUCGUUGUGUCCUUGGGCAAGACACUUAACCCACGUUGCCUGCAGGUGGUGGUCGGAGGGACCGGUGGCGCCAGUGCUCGGCAGCCACGCCUCUGUCAGUGCGCCCCAGGGCAGCUGUGGCUACAUCGUAGCUCAUCCACACCAGUGUGUGAAUGUGUGUGUGAAUGUGUGAAUGACUGAUUGUGUUGUAACGCGCCUUGGGGGGUUCCAGGACUCUAGAAGGCGCUAUAUCAAAUACAGACCAUUUACCAAUUACCAUUUAUCAUAACCUGAUCCCAGGUCAAGCUGCACUUUCCUCCAAUACACCGUCUGACUCGCUGAAUAAUACAGCUUCUCUGUGUGUUUUGAACCCAGAACAAGUGUAUGUGUAAAUUAUCCUUCCGUCUAAAAUCAGGUAUUUCUGCUGUUUCUGUGGUCUGAGAAAAUGAUUUCAACAGCAUCUUUUUUAACGUUAUGGAAACAGUAAACAAGCGGAGUCACUUGUUAUUUUUACUCUGACGUUUAGUAUUUUGUUAGUAAAAGAGAUGACGUCUCUACUCAGUGACAUCACACACCUCUUGGUUUGAACGUUCCUCUGCAGACUGAUGUUUGGGAUUUCCCAACAACCUCAUGGACCAAAUAAUUCUUGAAGAAAACUGCUUUUUUAUAAUGCAUCGUGAUGUUUUUGCCUGCAGUUCAUUUGUAAAAGCUUUGAUUCAGACUCACAUGCAUACAGUAGACUGAGGAGUAACUGAGACUAUGUAGAGAACCUCCACUCCUACUUAUCUAUGAGAUGCUGCACUGAUGAAUAAAUAAUGGCCCGUCCUUUCAAGUGCACCUUUGAACAGAGAUGAAGUUUUAACCCGCUAAAACCUGGAGACAGUUACAGUCUCCUAGACUAUAAACCUUUUAUUCAAGUCUCACACACUUUGCUCUUCUCUUUCGACGCCCCCACCCCUGAUUCUCUCCACCAUUACGCCCCCCACCUGGCCUUCUGUCAUCAGGGUGAGGAAUCAGAGAGAUUCAAACACAAAGGUCUCUCAAAUACAAAGAACCAUGGAUGGAUGCAGCAGACCCUGCUCUUUUGUUGAGCGACUCAGGGGUCCUGGGGGGACAAUAUUUGGAAAGCUGCACCUGCCUGUGCCCGUUUAUUUGUGUCUUCAUGAACAGAUUUGCCAAACUGAAAAGAGAUAUAUGGAUAUGCGUUUUUUAAAACAAGGUCUGGUUUUGGCAGCUUCUGAGAAAAUCCAGGUAGAGUUGCACCGGUGCUGACUCAGACAAGCAACCAUUUAGAAGAAUGUUUGAAUCAUACAUCAGCGUUACUUUCAGCUCCAGCCUGGUUUCCAUCCAGCUUUCCAUCUCAAAUCCUGUCAUGGCUAGGAGUUGGGAUUUUACUUCCCUGAGGAGAAAGCUACUGAAUGAAGCUGUUUGAUACUUGACUCUUUUUCCUUGCUCUAAAACUGAUUUAUUAAAGCAACAGAGCCGUCUCUGGCAUAUGAAAACAACUUUCUGGUUAAACGCUCUUCAAAUGAAUUUUUUAUUCCUGGAAAAAAUAAAGAUACAAAGCAGGAAGCAAAUCUGUUUCGUAACGACUGAAUGAAUACCACAAAAUAGUUAUCAUUGGGCCAAGCUGAAAGGGAAUUAAAAAGAAGUUUUGGUAGUUUCUGCAUCAGACUCCCAAAAACCCUUCAUGCACACAUUAAAACUGCUGGGUCACUUUUCUAACUCAAAUGGUGAGUGGUAGUCAGUGGGUCUUUAUUAAACGUAUGUUGAUGCCAAUGAACUGGAUUUCUUGCUAUUUUAGUCCAUGAAAGUCUGUCUGUCUGUCUGUCUGUCUGUCUAUCUGUCUGUCUAUCUAUCUAUCUAUCUAUCUAUCUAUCUAUCUAUCUAUCUAUCUAUCUAUCUAUCUAUCUAUCUAUCUAUCUAUCUAUCUAUCUAUCUAUCUAUCUAUCUAUCUAUCUAUCUAUCUAUCUAUCUAUCUAUCUAUCUAUCUAUCUAUCUAUCUAUCUAUCUAUCUAUCUAUCUAUCUAUCUAUCUAUCUAUCUAUCUAUCUAUCUAUCUAUCUAUCUAUCUUUCUUUCUUUCUUUCUUUCUUUCUUUCUUUCUUUCUUUCUUUCUUUCUUUCUUUCUUUCUUUCUUUCUUUCUUUCUUUCUUUCUUUCUUUCUUUCUUUCUUUCUUUCUUUCUUUCUUUCUUUCUUUCUUUCUUUCUUUCUUUCUUUCUUUCUUUCUUUCUUUCUUUCUUUCUUUCUUUCUUUCUUUCUUUCUUUCUUUCUUUCUUUCUUUCUUUCUUUCUUUCUUUCUUUCUUUCUUUCUUUCUUUCUUUCUUUCUUUCUUUCUUUCUUUCUUUCUUUCUUUCUUUCUUUCUUUCUUUCUUUCUUUCUUUCUUUCUUUCUUUCUUUCUUUCUUUCUUUCUUUCUUUCUUUCUUUCUUUCUUUCUUUCUUUCUUUCUUUCUUUCUUUCUUUCUUUCUUUCUUUCUUUUCCAGGAUCAUAACUUUGACUUUAAAGGGGCGGGGCAUCUAAGG